Molecule: ribosomal RNA, 198 nt
Filed under: uncultured bacterium
Lineage: Bacteria
Description: partial 16S ribosomal RNA
Rfam family: Bacterial small subunit ribosomal RNA
Source: RNAcentral
GCCUGCAACUCGGCUGCAUGAAGCUGGAAUCGCUAGUAAUCGCGGAUCAGAAUGCCGCGGUGAAUACGUUCCCGGGUCUUGUACACACCGCCCGUCACACCAUGGGAGUAGGUAAUGCCCGAAGUCGGUGACCUAACCGGAAGGAAGGAGCCGCCGAAGGCAGGACUUAUAACUGGGGUGAAGUCGUAACAAGGUACC